This 253-nucleotide ribosomal RNA is filed under the name uncultured bacterium. RNAcentral's name for it is "partial 16S ribosomal RNA". It matches the Rfam family "Bacterial small subunit ribosomal RNA", at positions 524 to 776 of the family's 1533-position model. The record is from RNAcentral.
UACGUAGGGGGCAAGCGUUGUCCGGAUUUAUUGGGCGUAAAGAGCGUGUAGGCGGCUGGGUAGGUCCGUUGUGAAAACUCGAGGCUCAACCUCGAGACGCCGAUGGAAACCCUCCAGCUAGAGUCCGGAAGAGGAGAGUGGAAUUCCUGGUGUAGCGGUGAAAUGCGCAGAUAUCGGGAAGAACACCGGUGGCGAAGGCGGUUCUCUGGGCCUUACCUGACACUGAGGAGCGAAAGCGUGGGGAGCGAACAGG